GUGUCUGACAUUGUGGAUGGGAUCUGCAGCCGCUUGGACCUGAUCCGCCGUCCCAGCGCCAGGCGGUUGGUGAUGAAGCUGGUGGGCCUCUUGGCCGGGAGGAGGGAGCACCUGGACACCGUGAUUUCCAGCCUCUUGCAGCAUUCCUUCCCCACAGACAGCAAUUUGUCUGAACUGUGGCAAUCACUCUCGACAGAGGAAGUGGUGGAAGAGCAGCUGAUGGCCAACCUUCUCAGACGUUUGGAGACCCACCACUGCGCAGAGACCCAGACUUCGCCCGUGUCCAUUGCGAUCACACAGGCUUUGUACCAGGUCAUCUCCGUCCCGGAGUCCAUAGUGACCAUCCACAGGCUCUACCCUGACCUCCUCAUGACCUUCCUUGCUGAGCUCUAUUUCAGUUGCCGGGCGCACAUUUUGCCAGAUUUGAACCAACUCUGGAGACAAUGCGGACGGGAGGAAGGCCUGGCAAGGUGCAGUACACAUCUUGAUGAAGCCCUGUGUCAGUUUUAGUCCAAAAAUGAGUUGUUACUAUUGUUGUUACUGUUGUUGCUGUUGUUGUUGUUACAUGGUGCCCUGUUUUGUCUUUCAAAUAAAUGAAAACUGCUUUACUUCAGCAAAACAUAAAGUACAGUACACUCAGUGGAAUAAUGCAAAAGGAAGCAAGAAAGUCUUAGGACAAACACAGUUCUUAGUCUCUGAUAAAUUCCCAAAUCACAUAGCAGUCUUACUUCAGACAAAGAAACAGCAACAAAUCCUUAGGAGCAGUUUCCCAGAUGCAGACUCGAAGCAGGCACAAGGGGAGUGAAGGCUUAGGCAUUACGAGUUAGUUUGUUACCAGCAAGAGCUGGCUGCACCUGCUUCUGCUUUAUAGCCUUGAGUCCCCUCACAGCUGCAAGGGCAGUUCCCAAUUAGCUGCAUUUCUGGCAGCUAUUCUAGCUGAACGACAUCUCUGCUCUGUUUCCUUUCGCCUCUCCUGAAAUGUGGGUACUUGCAAAAUCUCCUCCUCAGAUUCCAACUCACCCUCUGAUUCAUGAACACUUUCCUGCUCCCCUUCCGCUUCUGAAGAAGAGGAAUCCCUAACACAUGGGGACCAAGCCCAGAAAAUCAAGUAACAGAUAUAAAAAUUAAAACACAUAACAACAGUAUAAUUAAAGCAAUAAGCGACAGAAUAAAACAUCAUAAAAUACAUCAAUGAGCAUCAAAAUUAAAAAGUGGAACUGUUAAAAUUGCAAGGGAAGGGCAGGGCUUGUGCAAAACGCAGGACGAUAGGGUCAGAAGUGGGAGGAAACAAUUAGGACUGGGCAGUGAUCAAUUACGAGAGGACCUAUUGUUCAAAGGCACAUUGGAACAUCCAUGUCUUCAAGUCUUUACGGAAGGUGGACAGGGUGGGGGCUAAUCCAAUCUCCCUGGGGAGAGAGUUCCAGAGCCAGGGGACCACCACCGAAAAGGCCCUCUCCCUCGUCCCUACCAACCGCGCUUGUGACUGAGUCGGGAGCAAGAGAAAGGCAGAUCUAAGAGCUCAUGCUGGUUCAUAGGGAGAGAUAUGGUCGUGAAGAUAGGCAGGACCCAAAACCUUUUCAUAAAAGCCACAAAAGCUGUCUCAUUGACUGUCUUUAACCAAUUGCACUUCCAUUCAGGGAUUUUUUCCCAGUAUUGGACACAAUACUGUGUCCAAUUUUGGGCACUGCAGUUGAAGGGAGAUGUUGACAAGCUGGAAAGCGUCUAGAGGAGGGCGACUAAAACGAUUAAGGGUCUGGAGAACAAGCCCUAUGAGGAGCGGCUUAAAGAGCUGGGCAUGUUUAGCCUGCAGAAGAGAAGGCUGAGAGGAGACAUGAUAGCCAUGACAAAUACGUGAAGGGAAGUCAUAGGGGAGGAGGGAAGGGAGCUUGUUUUCUGCUGCCCUGCAGACUAGGGACACGGAACAACCGCUUUCAAACUACGGGAAAGGGAAAAUCCCACCUGAAACAUCCGGAAGAACUUCCUCACU
Anolis carolinensis (green anole) is the source of this 1987-nucleotide long non-coding RNA. NCBI's taxonomy places the organism in Eukaryota, Metazoa, Chordata, Lepidosauria, Squamata, Anolidae. The record is from Ensembl.